GGAUGUGAGGUCAAUCUGGCUGCAACAUCUGUCACCACAUUGAUCACCAGGGUUGAUUCGGCUGAUCUGGCUGGCUAGGUGGGUGUCACCUUGCCCCCUCAGGGCUCCAUGUGAGUCCCUCCUGAAGCCGCAUGCUCCAUCCAAGGGGAUGACCUUCCCUGAUAGAGGAGGACCUUUCUUCUGUCAGGGGUGUACCAGUAGCGGUGCUUCCCCUGCUAGAACUUCCAAACAAGCUCUCAAAUGUUAAUUGGCCGCUAUUUAUGUUAGUGGGCUUAUUUGGCAUUGCUCCCUCCCCAAUAGAAGUAGCCUGGUUAUUUUUU
This 320-nucleotide small nuclear RNA is filed under the name Propithecus coquereli (Coquerel's sifaka). RNAcentral's name for it is "7SK RNA (ENSPCOG00000001015.1)". It matches the Rfam family "7SK RNA". From Rfam's summary of the family: 7SK was discovered as an abundant small nuclear RNA in the mid-70s but a possible function has only recently been suggested. Two independent studies have found that 7SK RNA binds the CDK9/cyclin T complex (known as elongation factor P-TEFb). Lineage: Eukaryota; Metazoa; Chordata; Mammalia; Primates; Indriidae. The record is from Rfam by way of RNAcentral.